AUGUUUGUAUGGAGAAUCUGGCAUGAGUCCCUGGUCCUAUGUGCUAACCUAGUGAGAAGGGGUAUACCACAGGAGAAAUCAAGUUGUUUCCUAGGCGGCAGAGGAGAGGAGGAUGGCGGGCACCACUUUAUAAAAUGCAAGUGGGUUAAAGAAGUGUGGCGACGGCUGGGCUUGGAGCUGGAACGUAGCCAAAUCGAAUGCAUCAAGGGCGUGCAUGCAAUGCUGGACACUUUGUGGGGAUUAGAUGAGAAGAAAUGGGUGCUCAUUAUUACCCUCUGGUGGCAGUGGUGGAACCCGAGAAAAAAAGUAUGUGAAGGUGAGCUGCCAGUGCAAGUGGCAGAACUAGUCAGAUGCAUCUGA
Molecule: ribosomal RNA, 360 nt
Filed under: Triticum aestivum (bread wheat)
Lineage: Eukaryota; Viridiplantae; Streptophyta; Magnoliopsida; Poales; Poaceae
Description: partial small subunit ribosomal RNA
Source: RNAcentral